RNAcentral lists this ribosomal RNA (500 nucleotides) under uncultured bacterium. RNAcentral describes it as "partial 16S ribosomal RNA". It matches the Rfam family "Bacterial small subunit ribosomal RNA", at positions 30 to 523 of the family's 1533-position model. The record is from RNAcentral.
AUUGAACGCUGGCGGAAUGCUUUACACAUGCAAGUCGAACGGCAGCACGGACUUCGGUCUGGUGGCGAGUGGCGAACGGGUGAGUAAUACAUCGGAACGUGCCCAGUCGUGGGGGAUAACGUAGCGAAAGCUACGCUAAUACCGCAUACGAUCUAAGGAUGAAAGCGGGGGAUCGCAAGACCUCGCGCGAUUGGAGCGGCCGAUGGCAGAUUAGGUAGUUGGUAGGGUAAAGGCCUACCAAGCCGACGAUCUGUAGCUGGUCUGAGAGGAUGAUCAGCAACACUGGGACUGAGACACGGCCCAGACUCCUACGGGAGGCAGCAGUGGGGAAUUUUGGACAGUGGGCGCAAGCCUGAUCCAGCCAUUCCGCGUGCAGGAUGAAGGCCUUCGGGUUGUAAACUGCUUUUGUACAGAACGAAAAGGCUCUGGUUAAUACCCGGGGCUCAUGACGGUACUGUAAGAAUAAGCACCGGCUAACUACGUGCCAGCAGCCGCGGUAA